AACACUAUACUUUAAGGGAUCAUUUCUAUAGUAUGUUACCAGAGGGUUAAAGAGUCAGAAAGCUAUCAAGAGAGGGGAUGGGAUACAGAGUUCUG
Molecule: small nucleolar RNA, 95 nt
Organism: Erinaceus europaeus (western European hedgehog)
Lineage: Eukaryota; Metazoa; Chordata; Mammalia; Eulipotyphla; Erinaceidae
Gene: U3
Rfam family: Small nucleolar RNA U3
About the family: Small nucleolar RNAs (snoRNAs) are involved in the processing and modification of rRNA in the nucleolus. There are two main classes of snoRNAs: the box C/D class, and the box H/ACA class.
Source: Ensembl